Molecule: ribosomal RNA, 2712 nt
Filed under: Klebsiella pneumoniae
Lineage: Bacteria; Pseudomonadati; Pseudomonadota; Gammaproteobacteria; Enterobacterales; Enterobacteriaceae
Description: partial 23S ribosomal RNA
Rfam family: Bacterial large subunit ribosomal RNA
Source: RNAcentral
CCGGCGAUGUCCGAAUGGGGAAACCCAGUGCAAUUCGUUGCACUAUCGUUAACUGAAUACAUAGGUUAACGAGGCGAACCGGGGGAACUGAAACAUCUAAGUACCCCGAGGAAAAGAAAUCAACCGAGAUUCCCCCAGUAGCGGCGAGCGAACGGGGAGCAGCCCAGAGUCUGAAUCAGCUUGUGUGUUAGUGGAACGGUCUGGAAAGUCCGACGGUACAGGGUGAUAGUCCCGUACACCAAAAUGCACAGGUUGUGAACUCGAAGAGUAGGGCGGGACACGUGGUAUCCUGUCUGAAUAUGGGGGGACCAUCCUCCAAGGCUAAAUACUCCUGACUGACCGAUAGUGAACCAGUACCGUGAGGGAAAGGCGAAAAGAACCCCGGCGAGGGGAGUGAAAAAGAACCUGAAACCGUGUACGUACAAGCAGUGGGAGCACCUUCGGGUGUGACUGCGUACCUUUUGUAUAAUGGGUCAGCGACUUAUAUUCUGUAGCAAGGUUAACCGUAUAGGGGAGCCGCAGGGAAACCGAGUCUUAACUGGGCGUUAAGUUGCAGGGUAUAGACCCGAAACCCGGUGAUCUAGCCAUGGGCAGGUUGAAGGUUGGGUAACACUAACUGGAGGACCGAACCGACUAAUGUUGAAAAAUUAGCGGAUGACUUGUGGCUGGGGGUGAAAGGCCAAUCAAACCGGGAGAUAGCUGGUUCUCCCCGAAAGCUAUUUAGGUAGCGCCUCGUGAACUCAUCUUCGGGGGUAGAGCACUGUUUCGGCUAGGGGGUCAUCCCGACUUACCAACCCGAUGCAAACUACGAAUACCGAAGAAUGUUAUCACGGGAGACACACGGCGGGUGCUAACGUCCGUCGUGAAGAGGGAAACAACCCAGACCGCCAGCUAAGGUCCCAAAGUCAUGGUUAAGUGGGAAACGAUGUGGGAAGGCACAGACAGCCAGGAUGUUGGCUUAGAAGCAGCCAUCAUUUAAAGAAAGCGUAAUAGCUCACUGGUCGAGUCGGCCUGCGCGGAAGAUGUAACGGGGCUAAACCAUGCACCGAAGCUGCGGCAGCGACACUAUGUGUUGUUGGGUAGGGGAGCGUUCUGUAAGCCUGCGAAGGUGACCUGUGAGGGUUGCUGGAGGUAUCAGAAGUGCGAAUGCUGACAUAAGUAACGAUAAAGCGGGUGAAAAGCCCGCUCGCCGGAAGACCAAGGGUUCCUGUCCAACGUUAAUCGGGGCAGGGUGAGUCGACCCCUAAGGCGAGGCCGAAAGGCGUAGUCGAUGGGAAACAGGUUAAUAUUCCUGUACUUGGUGUUACUGCGAAGGGGGGACGGAGAAGGCUAUGUUAGCCGGGCGACGGUUGUCCCGGUUUAAGCAUGUAGGCUGGUUAUCCAGGCAAAUCCGGAUAAUCAAGGCUGAGGUGUGAUGACGAGGCACUACGGUGCUGAAGUAACAAAUGCCCUGCUUCCAGGAAAAGCCUCUAAGCAUCAGGUAACAUCAAAUCGUACCCCAAACCGACACAGGUGGUCAGGUAGAGAAUACCAAGGCGCUUGAGAGAACUCGGGUGAAGGAACUAGGCAAAAUGGUGCCGUAACUUCGGGAGAAGGCACGCUGGUGUGUAGGUGAAGUCCCUGCGGAUGGAGCUGAGACCAGUCGAAGAUACCAGCUGGCUGCAACUGUUUAUUAAAAACACAGCACUGUGCAAACACGAAAGUGGACGUAUACGGUGUGACGCCUGCCCGGUGCCGGAAGGUUAAUUGAUGGGGUUAUCCGUAAGGAGAAGCUCUUGAUCGAAGCCCCGGUAAACGGCGGCCGUAACUAUAACGGUCCUAAGGUAGCGAAAUUCCUUGUCGGGUAAGUUCCGACCUGCACGAAUGGCGUAAUGAUGGCCAGGCUGUCUCCACCCGAGACUCAGUGAAAUUGAACUCGCUGUGAAGAUGCAGUGUACCCGCGGCAAGACGGAAAGACCCCGUGAACCUUUACUAUAGCUUGACACUGAACAUUGAGCCUUGAUGUGUAGGAUAGGUGGGAGGCUUUGAAGCGUGGACGCCAGUCUGCGUGGAGCCAACCUUGAAAUACCACCCUUUAAUGUUUGAUGUUCUAACGUUGGCCCCUUACCGGGGUUGCGGACAGUGUCUGGUGGGUAGUUUGACUGGGGCGGUCUCCUCCCAAAGCGUAACGGAGGAGCACGAAGGUUAGCUAAUCCUGGUCGGACAUCAGGAGGUUAGUGCAAUGGCAUAAGCUAGCUUGACUGCGAGCGUGACGGCGCGAGCAGGUGCGAAAGCAGGUCAUAGUGAUCCGGUGGUUCUGAAUGGAAGGGCCAUCGCUCAACGGAUAAAAGGUACUCCGGGGAUAACAGGCUGAUACCGCCCAAGAGUUCAUAUCGACGGCGGUGUUUGGCACCUCGAUGUCGGCUCAUCACAUCCUGGGGCUGAAGUAGGUCCCAAGGGUAUGGCUGUUCGCCAUUUAAAGUGGUACGCGAGCUGGGUUUAGAACGUCGUGAGACAGUUCGGUCCCUAUCUGCCGUGGGCGCUGGAGAAUUGAGGGGGGCUGCUCCUAGUACGAGAGGACCGGAGUGGACGCAUCACUGGUGUUCGGGUUGUCAUGCCAAUGGCACUGCCCGGUAGCUAAAUGCGGAAGAGAUAAGUGCUGAAAGCAUCUAAGCACGAAACUUGCCCCGAGAUGAGUUCUCCCUGAGACUUUAAGUCUCCUGAAGGAACGUU